Molecule: ribosomal RNA, 468 nt
Filed under: uncultured bacterium
Lineage: Bacteria
Description: partial 16S ribosomal RNA
Rfam family: Bacterial small subunit ribosomal RNA
Source: RNAcentral
GACGAACGCUGGCGGCGUGCUUAACACAUGCAAGUCGAACGGAAAGGCCCUGCUUUUGUGGGGUGCUCGAGUGGCGAACGGGUGAGUAACACGUCAGUAACCUGCCCUUGACUUCGGGAUAACUUCAGGAAACUGGGGCUAAUACCGGAUAGGAGCUCCUGCUGCAUGGUGGGGGUUGGAAAGUUUCGGCGGUUGGGGAUGGACUCGCGGCUUAUCAGCUUGUUGGUGGGGUAGUGGCUUACCAAGGCUUUGCCGGGUAGCCGGCCUGGGAGGGUGACCGGACACAUUGGGACUGAGAUACGGCCCAGACUCCUACGGGAGGCAGCGGUGGGGAAUAGUGCACAAGGGGCGGAAGCCUGAUGCAGCAACGCCGCGUGCGGGAAGACGUCCUUCGGGUUGUAAACCGCUUUCGCCUGUGACGAAGCGUGAGUGACGGUAAUGGGUAAAGAAGCACCGGCUAACUACGUG